ACACCAACACUCAAUCAACUCGACAAGCAAGAAGAAAAGAGAAAACAAAGGUUUUUGAUAAAAAGUUGGAUGCUGUUACAAGGGGCCACGACCAGAAUAUAAAGGAGAAGCCUUGUACAUGCACAAGGUCUCGAAAAUACAAGAGAAAUAAAGACAAAGGCUCCCUUGGAAACACAACAAAGACUAGAGUUUUCGAAAAUAAGAACAUAGCAUAAAAACUUAGAUAAAAUUAUAUAACAUAAGGUCUUCAUGUGGACAGACCAAGAUCAAUCAUCUAGGAGGUAAGAGAAGUAGACUUGUGGCCUCGUUAAAAACCUUCCUUUGGAAAACCCAAUGGGACAAAACCAAAGGUUAGGAAAAGAGCACACACAAGCUACUUGCCUAGAUGAUGAUCAGCUUGAAGGUGGAGUAGCUUGAAUGAUGGUUAAGGUGUCUUGGAUGAUCAAGCUUCGGCCAAGACUAAUGUCUUCUUCUUGUUUCCAAAUGUUCUUCAAGGUUGCAUCCUCAGCUACAAGCUCUUCAGGUUCAGGUUCAUUCUUCCAGUCCUUGGUGCUUUCCAUGAUCACAUCAUCCCCUCCCACUUCAAAAAGAUUUGUCCUCAAAUCUGUGUUACCUGCAAUAGAAGGGACCAAGUCAGUAACAUCAGAGUUUAUAAUCAGAUUACACUUACCUUGCAAGCCUCUUUGAUAGGCAUUAUUGCUGACUGGUUCUAUUAUAUAGAAGGGACUGAUCCAUUUGGCUCUCCUUACUCCUGAGGCAUUACUUAAACCUGAUACAUUGAAACAAGACAAGUGAACACAAGCAAAAACAUCAUAGAGUAAGAGUCUUAUCCCAAAGUUGUAUUUUAUCGGUUUUGGCUUGUAUGCUGCAUCUGGAGGUUCUUCUUUGAUGAGGAUGAAGCAAGUGACGUCCUGUUGUCUCUCCUGGUUUAGAUCAGGCGGCUUGAAACGUUUGUCUUCCUCACGCUUGUUCUUUCCCUUGGUAUGCUUCAAAGCUUCCAUAUAAUCUGCACAUGACUCUUUUGACAAAAACAAGUGCAUCAUAUUUGUGUAAUCAAUAAAAGAACUCUUGAAAACAUGAUUAGUUACCUUAGCAUGCUCACCUGGUCGCCAUAGAUAGGUUUGAGAUGUUCUAAACUCAGAAAAAUUCAAACAAAGUAAACACAUGAUCACCCGACUUGUAGAAUUCAUAACUCUUUCAUAUGAGAAGCUUUGGACAUGAUUCCAAUUCGACGUGAGACCCUGAUGAGUGUAGUUUCCAUUGCAGUUGAGUUUGUUGCUUAAUUCCUUCUGGGUGCUGAGAUAUGCUCCUCGGACUGCUCCUAUGUUAAACCUGGCGGCUAGACAGUUUCCAAGAUUUGAUUGUUGCAUCUCCAAUUUAGCCAAGGACUCAUCAUGGAUACUCUGAUCAUUAUAGCCCCUUUCUUCACCUGUACCUUUUUCAGCUUGUUUUGGACAAGUCAAGUGUGUUAUCAUGUCAAAGAAAGUGUUGUAGACCAGAAUGUCUCCAAAGCACAAAACAGCAUGAUUCCUCCAUCUAUUAUGUAUAUCAACAAAAAUAUUGCAGACCCAAUGAUGAGAUCCUAGGAUGAUGCUCUGGAACAGAUGGGAUAAUUCUUGCAGAAACGAAUCAAAGACUCAAGCUUCUCAAGGUAUGUGGAUCGAAUGGUGACACAAGAGGCUGCGGAAAGGCUCCUUGAUACUCCUAGGCAAUAGAUCGGAUAUGACACACCAAACUAGAGCCCUUAGUCUCUGGAUAUUACACACCAGAAGUUGGAUAUUACACACCAACACUCAAUCAACUCGACAAGCAAGAAGAAAAGAGAAAACAAAGGUUUUUGAUAAAAAGAUGGAUACUGAUACAAGGGGCCACGACCAGAAUAUAAAGGAGAAGCCUUGUACAUGCACAAGGUCUCGAAAAUACAAGGGAAAUAAAGACAAAGGCUCCCUUGGAAACACAACAAAGACUAGAGUUUUUUUUGAAAACUAAAUAACAUAAAAGCAUAGCUUAAAAUAUAAGAUAAGGUCUUCAUGUGGACAGACCAAGAUCAAUCAUCUAGGAGAUAGGAGAAGUAGACUUGUGGCCUCGUUAAAAACCUUCCUUUGGAAAAACCCAGUGGGACAAAACCAAAGGUUAGGAAAAGCACACACAAGCUACUUGCCUAGAUGAUAAUCAGCUUGAAGGUGGAGUAGCUUGAAUGAUGGUUAAGGUGUCUUGGAUGAUCAAGCUUCGGCCAAGACUAAUGUAUUCUUCUUGUUUCCAAAUGUUCUUCAAGGUUGCACCCUCAGCUACAAGCUCUUCAGGUUCAGGUUCAUGCUUCCAGUCCUUGGUGCUUUCCAUGAUCACAUCAUCCCCUCCCACUUCAAAAAGAUUUGUCCUCAAAUCUGUGUUACCUGCAAUAGAAGGGACCAAGUCAGUAACAUCAGAGUUUAUAAUCAGAUUACACUUACCUUGCAAGCCUCUUGGAUAGGCAUUAUCGCUGACUGGUUCUAUUAGGUAGAAGGGACUGAUCCAUUUGGCUUUCCUCACUCCUGAGGCAUUACUUAAACCUGAUACAUUGAAACAAGACAAGUUAAGACAAGUAAAAUCAUAAUAGAGUAAGAGUCUUAUCCCAAAGUUGUCUUUUCUCGGUUUUGGCUUGUAUGCUGCAUCUGGAGGUGCUUCUUUGAUGAGGAUGAAGCAAGUGACGUCCUGAUGUCUCUCCUGGCUUAUAUCAGGCGGCUUGAAACGUUUGUCUUCCUCACGCUUGUUCUUUCCCUUGGUAUGAUUCAAAGCUUCCAUAUAAUCUGCACAUGACUCUGGUCGCCAUAGAUAGGAUUGAGAUGUUCUAAACUCAGAAAAAUUCAGACAAAGCAAACACAGAAUCACCCGUCUUGUAGAGCCCAUAACUCUUUCAUUUGAGAAGCUUUGGACAUGAUUCCAGUUCGACGUGAGACCCUGAUGAGUGUAGUUUCCACUGCAGUUGAGUUUGUUGCUUAAUUCCUUCUGGUUGCUGAGAUAUGAUCCUCGGACUGCUCCUAUGUCAGAGUUGGCGGCUAGACAGCUUGCAAAAAGAGACAACUGAUUGUCUUUGACCCGUGUGAUUUCCAAAAGACAUUUUUGGGUAUUUUUCUGUUCAAUCCCUUUGUCUGGAACAAGACCAGAGCAGUAGAGCUUUCAAGACACGAACUGGGCAUGGAACAUGUUGUAUUUGAACCUGGAGGAGAGUUGUGGAAUCACAGGAACAAUCCCAUAGUGAUUGAGAAGAAAUCGGCAGCAACAACAAUUGUUUUUGGUGAUCUUUUACCCUCUGAAGCUAAAGGGAUGCACGUCUCAGCUCAGCAAGAGUUUCACUACAAAACCAAUUGGAGAAUGUUACCCACUCUUUCCUGGAUCCAACAAACCAGAAAACGCAGCAAAUGGCCUCCUGAUCAUCAAGAUAUUGUCAAUUCCGCAAAACAUAUCGGUUUAGCCAAAUUCUGUGAGCUGCUUAAUGAGAUACCACUUAAUGAGAUCCUAGGAUGAUGCUCUGGAACAGAUGGGAUAAUCCUUGCAGAAACGAAUCAAAAGACUCAAGUUUCUCAAGGUAUGUGGAUCGAAUGGUGACACAAGAGGCUGCGGAAAGGCUCCUUGAUACUCCUAGGCAAUAGAUUGGAUAUGACACACCAAACUAGAGCCCUUAGUCUCUGGAUAUUACACACCAGAAGUUGGAUAUUACACACCAACACUCAAUCAACUCGACAAGCAAGAAGAAAAGAGAAAACAAAGGUUUUUUGAUAAAAAGAUGGAUACUGAUACAAGGGGCCACGACCAGAAUAUAAAGGAGAAGCCUUGUACAUGCACAAGGUCUCGAAAAUACAAGGAAAAUAAAGACAAGGCUCCCUUGGAAACACAACAAAGACUAGAGUUUUCGAAAAUAAAAACAUAGC
This 3908-nucleotide long non-coding RNA is filed under the name Brassica rapa (field mustard). Its description in RNAcentral is "long non-coding RNA (BRAP_LNC008713)". Lineage: Eukaryota; Viridiplantae; Streptophyta; Magnoliopsida; Brassicales; Brassicaceae. The record is from RNAcentral.